UCCGCGCAGCGCACGCCAAGCCGCUGCUUAUCCGGAGCCGGAGCGGACUCUUCUCUUCUAGAGACUGGUCAACUCUGCGGCGGCGGGGCGCACAGGGGAGGAGCUUCCUCUCUCCAACCUGGCCCUCCCAGGCGCUGCCAGCCACCCGAGCCCGCCUUUCGGAGCUCCUCCCUCCCCAGACUUCUCACGCGACGUCAGCGGCGGAUGCCGAGGCGGGGAUGAGGGCCACUGGCCCGCGAUCCUCCCAGCGAGGCUCCGGCCUCGGCCUCAGGCCCGAGAUCUCCGCCUUGUGGCGACCAGACGACGUGUGCCACACCGGCGGGGCUCGGGCGGGGGCUUGGGAGUGGGGAAGUGAGCCAGGGGCGCUCAAUUUGUCUUCUCUCCCCGCAACCCACAAGGUUGGAAAGGUUUUCUUGUGGGGAAAUUUCCUCUCCGCAGCUUCACACUCAGUCAGCGGACCCUCCCACCCAGGAGGAAUCUCCCCUGGUCCCAUCGGCGCGUCUUCCGGGAGUCGCCAAACACCAGACAGAGGUAGCGGGGUGGGUGUGGCAGCUGCCAUUUCCUGCGCGGAAAGCCCUUUGAGGACGUGCGGUGGUGACUUACUAGGGCUCCGCGCUUCUCAGCCCGGUGAAUCAGACAGAGAUUGAAAAGUAACCUUGAGAGAGUCCCUCCCUUGAUUCCAGGGAAAGUUACUAGAGGAUGUGCUCCAACGAAACAUGAGAGCAAGACAAGAAAGAGAAAGAUGUGGGAUCCAGAAAAAAGGACCAGGAGAAUGUGACGGGAAAUUCCAGGGUGAAAGAUAUGUGGCAGAAUUAGAGAGCAGUCGUUUUCACCAGAGAAGGAAGAUGGCAGACUCCAAGAAGAAAGACUGCAAAGUGAAUCAGCUAUAUGUAUACAUAUAAUGUCCAUGGACAGAGGAAUGGAUAAAAAAGAUGUGGUAUAUAUAUACAAUGGAAUGUUAUUCAGCCAUAAAAAGGAAUGAAAUUGGGUCAUUUGUAGAGACGUGGAUGGAGCCAGAGACUGUCAUAAAGAGUGAACAGCAGUGCCUCCCGUUUCUUGUCCUACACCUGGUCACUACCAUGUCCUGUACCGCGGGUGUGGAGAAACGCAGUUGGGCUGGCACGGGGAGACAUACUGCCUGGUUGGUGGCUACCGGCUCUACGGGGAUGUUCCUUUGGCCACGCCAGCUAAGGUAGAAGCAGAGAAGCCAGUCCCCAGACGUGCUCCGAAGAGAAAGCACUCUCUGGAAUGGUCGGACGAAGACCUGGGUUGCCCCAGACCCAAAAUCCGGCGAUUGGAGCUUUCAAGCAGCACAGGAAUACAAGAUGCUCCUUUGGCCACGCCAGCCAAGGUGGAAGCAGAGAAGCCAGUCCCCAGACGUGCUCCGAAGAGAAAGCACUCUCCGGAAAUGCCGGACGAAGACCUGGGUUGCUCCAGACCCAAAAUCCGGCAAUUGUAGCAUGGUGCCAGGAGGCGGACCCCACAGAAUCUUGCAGGGGCCCCUUUGUGAGCUGAAGAAAGAAAAGUCUAGAAAAAACGGAUAGCUGCGAGGGGAAGAUGGCAGAAGAGUAAGACACGGAGAUCACCUUCCUCUCCACAAAUACACCAGAAAUACAUCUACACGUGGAACAACUCCUACAGAACACCUACUGAAUGCUGGCAGAAGACCUCAGACCUCCCAAAAGGCAAGAAACUCCCCCACAUACCUGGGUAGGGCAAAAGAAAAAAAGAAAAAACAGAGACAAAAGAAUAGGGACGGGACCUGCACCAGUGGGAGGGAGCUGUGAAGGAGAAGAGGUUUCCACACACUAGGAAGCCCCUUCGCGGGAGGAGAGUGCGCGUGGCGGAGGGGGGAAGCUUUGGAGCCGUGGAGGAGAGCACAGCCACAGGGGUGCGGAGGGCAAAGCGGAGAGAUUCCCGCACAGAGGAUAGGUGCCAACUGGCACUCACCAGCCCGAGAGGUUUGUCUGCUCAGCUGCGGGGGUGGGCGGGGCUGCAAGCUGAGGCUCGGGCUUUAGUCAGAGCGCAGGGAGAGGACUGGGGUUGGUGGAGUGAACAUAGCCUGAAGGGGUUAGUGCAGCACGGCUAGCCGGGAGGGAGUCCGGGAAAAGAUCUGGAGCUGCCGAAGAGGCAAGAGACUUUUUCUUCCCUCUUUGUUUCCUGCUGCGCGAGGAGAGGGGAUUGAGAGCGCUGCUUAAAGGAGCUCCAGAGACGGGCGCGAGUCGUGGCUAAAAGCGCGGACCCCAGAGACGGGCAUGAGACGCUAAGGCUGCUGCUGCCGCCGCCACCAAGAAGCCUGUGUGCGAGCACAGGUCACUAUCCACACCCCGCCUCCGGGGAGCCUGUGCAGCCCGCCACAGCCAGGUUCCCGGGAUCCAGGGACAACUUCUCCGGGAGAACGCACGGUGAGCCUCAGGCUGGUGCAAAGUCACGCCAGCCUCUCGCGCCGCAGGCUCGCCCCGCACUCUGUGCCCCUCCCUCCCCCCGGCCUGAGAGAGCCAGAGCCCCCGAAUCAGCGGCUCCUUUAACCCCGUCUUGUCUGAGUGAAAAACAGACGCCCUCCAGCGACCUACACGCAGAGGCGGGGCCAAAUCCAAACCUGAGCCCCUGGGAGCUGUGAGAACAAAGAAGAAAAAGGGAUAUCUCUCCCAGCAGCCUCAGAAGCAGCGGAUUAAAGCUCCACAAUCAACUUGAUGUACCCUGCAUCUGUGGAAUACAUGAAUAGACAACGAAUCAUCCCAAAUUGAGGAGGUGGACUUUGAGAGCAAGAUUUAUCAUUUUUUCUCCUUUAUCUCCUUUUCUGAGUGUGUAUGUGUAUGCUUCUCUGUGAGAUUUUGCCUGUAUAGCUUUGCUUCCACCAUUUGUCCUAGGGUUCUGUCUGUUUUUUUUCAAAAUUUUUUUCUUAAUAAUUAUUUUUAUUUUAAUAACUUUAUUUUAUACUACUUUAUCGUCUUUCUUUCUUUCUUUCUUUCUUUCUUUCUUUCUUUCUUUCUUUCCUUCCUUCCUUCCUUCGUUCCUUCCCUCAUUUAGACAAAGAAUCAUCCCAAAUUGAGGAGGUGGACUUUGAAAGCAAGAUUUAUGAUUUUUUCCCCAGUCCUCUUUUUGUGAGUUUGUAAGUGUACGCUUCUGUAUGAGAUUUUGUCUGUAUAGCUCUGUUUCCGCCAUUUAUCCAAAGGUUCUAUGCGUUCGUUUUUUUUUCUUAAUAAGUAGUUUUUAAUUUAAUAACUUUAUUAUAUUUUACUUUACUUUAUUUUACUUUAUCUUCUUUCUUUCUUUCCUUCUUCCUUCCCUCCUCCCUUCCUUCCCUCCUCUCUUCCUUCCUUCCUUCCUCCCACCAUCCCUCCCUCCCUCCAUUCUUUUUUCUUUUUUUUCUUUCUUUCUUUCUUUCCUUCUUUCCUUCUUUUCUUCUUUCUUUCUUCCUUCCUUAAAUUAAAUUCAAUAUAGAUAUUUAAAUUUAAGGUAAAAUUAAAUUAUAAUUUGAAAUUAUAUGUGGAGUUUUAUUUCCUUAAGAAUAUUUUGGAAAUUUCUACUCCUAUUUUAACUUAUAUUUUCAGAGAAGGUAUUUGGUCCAAAUGAAGAAUAUCUUCAAUUAUUGUUCUUCUAUUGCAAGCAAAAAAGGAUUUAUACUUCUUUUCAUGAAAUAUGGUUGUUUGACAACAGAAGAAUAAAUAUUUUAUAUUUUUAGAAACAA
Molecule: non-coding RNA, 3691 nt
Organism: Globicephala melas (long-finned pilot whale)
Lineage: Eukaryota; Metazoa; Chordata; Mammalia; Artiodactyla; Delphinidae
Source: RefSeq, a predicted model, not a curated record